RNAcentral lists this ribosomal RNA (761 nucleotides) under uncultured Ralstonia sp. Its description in RNAcentral is "bacterial SSU rRNA". It matches the Rfam family "Bacterial small subunit ribosomal RNA", at positions 46 to 797 of the family's 1533-position model. Lineage: Bacteria; Pseudomonadati; Pseudomonadota; Betaproteobacteria; Burkholderiales; Burkholderiaceae. The record is from RNAcentral.
GCCUUACACAUGCAAGUCGAACGGCAGCGGGGGAAAGCUUGCUUUCUGCCGGCGAGUGGCGAACGGGUGAGUAAUACAUCGGAACGUGCCCUGUAGUGGGGGAUAACUAGUCGAAAGAUUAGCUAAUACCGCAUACGACCUGAGGGUGAAAGUGGGGGACCGCAAGGCCUCAUGCUAUAGGAGCGGCCGAUGUCUGAUUAGCUAGUUGGUGGGGUAAAGGCCUACCAAGGCGACGAUCAGUAGCUGGUCUGAGAGGACGAUCAGCCACACUGGGACUGAGACACGGCCCAGACUCCUACGGUAGGCAGCAGUGGGGAAUUUUGGACAAUGGGCGAAAGCCUGAUCCAGCAAUGCCGCGUGUGUGAAGAAGGCCUUCGGGUUGUAAAGCACUUUUGUCCGGAAAGAAAUGGCUCUGGUUAAUACCCGGAGUUGAUGACGGUACCGGAAGAAUAAGGACCGGCUAACUACGUGCCAGCAGCCGCGGUAAUACGUAGGGUCCAAGCGUUAAUCGGAAUUACUGGGCGUAAAGCGCACGCAGGCGGUCUGUCAAGUCGGAUGUGAAAUCCCCGGGCUCAACCUGGGAACUGCAUUCGAAACUGGCAGGCUAGAGUCUUGUAGAGGGGGGUAGAAUUCCAGGUGUAGCGGUGAAAUGCGUAGAGAUCUGGAGGAAUACCGGUGGCGAAGGCGGCCCCCUGGACAAAGACUGACGCUCAGGUGCGAAAGCGUGGGGAGCAAACAGGAUUAGAUACCCUGGUAGUCCA